Molecule: ribosomal RNA, 403 nt
Filed under: Fusobacteriota bacterium
Lineage: Bacteria; Fusobacteriati; Fusobacteriota
Description: Fusobacteria bacterium partial 16S ribosomal RNA
Rfam family: Bacterial small subunit ribosomal RNA
Source: RNAcentral
UGGGGAAUAUUGCACAAUGGAGGGAACUCUGAUGCAGCGACGCCGCGUGAACGAAGAAGGCUUUCGUGUUGUUAAGUUCUUUUAUAUGGGAAGCUAAUGACGGUACCAUAUGAAAAAGCCCCGGCUAACUACGUGCCAGCAGCCGCGGUAAUACGUAGGGGGCUAGCGUUGUCCGGAAUCACUGGGCGUAAAGGGUUCGCAGGCGGAAAUGCAAGUCAGGUGUAAAAGGCAGUAGCUUAACUACUGUAAGCAUUUGAAACUGCAUAUCUUGAGAAGAGUAGAGGUAAGUGGAAUUUUUAGUGUAGCGGUGAAAUGCGUAGAUAUUAAAAAGAAUACCGGUGGCGAAGGCGACUUACUGGGCUCAUUCUGACGCUGAGGAACGAAAGCGUGGGUAGCAAACAGG